GACGAACGCUGGCGGCGUGCCUAAUACAUGCAAGUCGAACGCAUUUUCUUUCACCGUAGCUUGCUACACCGACAGAAAAUGAGUGGCGAACGGGUGAGUAACACGUGGGUAACCUGCCCAUCAGCGGGGGAUAACACUUGGAAACAGGUGCUAAUACCGCAUAAUUCCAUUUACUGCAUGGUAGAUGGAUGAAAGGCGCUUUUGCGUCACUGAUGGAUGGACCCGCGGUGCAUUAGCUAGUUGGUGGGGUAACGGCCUACCAAGGCUGCGAUGCAUAGCCGACCUGAGAGGGUGAUCGGCCACACUGGGACUGAGACACGGCCCAGACUCCUACGGGAGGCAGCAGUAGGGAAUCUUCGGCAAUAGACGCAAGUCUGACCGAGCAACGCCGCGUGAGUGAAGAAGGUUUUCGGAUCGUAAAACUCUGUUGUUAGAAAAGAACAAGGAUGAGAGUGGAAAGUUCAUCCCUUGACGGUAUCUAACCAGAAAGCCACGGCUAACUACGUG
This 507-nucleotide ribosomal RNA is filed under the name uncultured bacterium. Its description in RNAcentral is "partial 16S ribosomal RNA". It matches the Rfam family "Bacterial small subunit ribosomal RNA", at positions 28 to 507 of the family's 1533-position model. The record is from RNAcentral.